GGGCCGCGCGCCACUGGUGUGCGGGUGUGCCUGGCAGGCACACCGUGAAGGGUUCGAUCCCCUUGCGGUCCACC
Molecule: transfer RNA, 74 nt
Filed under: Asanoa iriomotensis
Lineage: Bacteria; Bacillati; Actinomycetota; Actinomycetes; Micromonosporales; Micromonosporaceae
Description: tRNA-Ala
Source: RNAcentral